UGUUGGGAACAGGCCCCCAAAACUGGCCAUAAACAAAAUCUCUGCAGCACUGUGACAUGUUCAUGAUGGCCAUGACCCCCACCCUGAAGGUCAUGGGUUUACCGGAAUGAGGGCAAGGAACACCUGGCUCACCCAGGACGGAAAACGGCUUAAAGGGGUUCCUGUACCACAAACAAUAGCAUGAGUGAUCUGUGCCUUAAGGACAUGUUCCUGCUGCAGAUAACUAGCCAGAGCCCAUCCGUUUAUUUUGGCACAUCCCUUUAUUUCAUAAGAAAUGCUUUUAGUUAAUCUAUAAUCUAUAGAAAUAAUGCUUAUCACUGGCUUGCUGUCAAUAAAUAUGUGUGUAAAUCUC
Molecule: long non-coding RNA, 352 nt
Filed under: Pan troglodytes (chimpanzee)
Lineage: Eukaryota; Metazoa; Chordata; Mammalia; Primates; Hominidae
Description: lincRNA
Source: RNAcentral